CACAGACAUUCAGAUCAUGGCAGAACUGUCACAGAUGUUACUUUGUGAAAACACAAAGAAUAAUGUGUUUGGAGAGAUCAGUCUUCAAUUAGCUAUAUUUUCUAGGAGCCUACCUUUACUUAGCCUCACAACAUGGGCCUUAGCUUUAGCACUUAAUCUGCACAAAUACCUGGCUUAAGUGUUAUGACUGACUGGCUAUUCAACCAAACCAUACAAAUGACCAAUUCGGUAAGAAAGCAUGAACUUCAGUGUUGAACCAAAUCAACCAACCUCCUCAAUCCAAAUGAACAAUGCUAUUCUAGGAGUCUGUGCUAGAAUAAAAUCCUAAUGCAAAGGCUGUCUUAAAAUGCUGAACCCAGAAGAAUUUGGCAUAAAUAAGACAUGGAGUUAGCUGACAUGAGAUAUUACAUUUAUUCCACUGUUGACGAGGACAAAACUGGGCCGCUAUUGUCACAGGAGAGGAUAACAAAGGAAGCUGAGGAAGUCUGUUCUGGAGGCACCAUGACAAAGCACCAGACAGAAAGCAGUCACGUGUGGGGAGAUGAGCAGAGACACCACUUCUCAAGCACCUGAUUAUUCUUUCUCAGUAUUUAGAAGCAAAAAUUAUCCUUAAGAAAAACAACCGCAAACGCAACACAGGCUACACAGAUGAGAAAAUGGGGCUUGCAGAGCUCAAACCAUUACACCAUUCAGAAGCUGGCUUUGGUAUUACUUCAAGUUAUUCAAAACAGUCACCACUUGCUGAGCCUCUGAUGUCUCAUCUGUUGAAUGGGUACAUUUUCUUCCUGAUCCUUCCACCUCUAAACUUGUCUAUUUCCAAGGAUCUAUGGCAUCCAGGCAUAUGAUUUCAAGAGAGAAGGCUGAAAAGGAAGGUGACUGGAAUAUUAAGAACUGUGAGAUAUUCUGAGGAAACUCUAAUUUGUAAAUUGGUAGAAAUGCCAGUAAUUUGUUGGGAAUUGAAGACCCUCUGUAUUCAAGAGCGAAGCUUGGCAGCUGUGCACUGUUGUUUUAUAAAUCAAUAUUACAUCUGAAGGUGGUGUUUGAAUGUUUGUGUCAUUGGGGUUUGUCUCCAACAUAGUCCUGUGACAAGAAAUGUUCAAACAAAACAAACACAAUCCCUUCCCUGUCCUUUAGGAUAAAGUCCAAACGUAAUUCCACAACAGGGAUAUAACAUUCAAAUCAACUACAGAACUUCUGUAAUUAUAUAAAACCCCACGACCACAGAAAUGCAAUUGAAUUGAAGACACUUUGCAAUAUUCCCCAAGAAAGGACUGUGUGGCUGUCAGAUUAACAAAAGUCAAGAGGUGGUGAGACAAUGCUCACCAUUGCAAAAAAGAGCUUUGUGCAUAAUGAACAGAAUUUGCAUGCCUGUUUAGGAAAUUAAGGUGAAGCCAAGGUGACUUAGGGUCACAUGAGGAGUCACAACGGUCACUAACUAGAAAAGUGAGCAUUAAACAUUAGUCAUUUGGUUUAAAUAAGUUCAUCUCAAUUAUUAUUAGAUAUUAUUACAUAGAUUUAAUAAAAAAUAAUAGCUUAAGUGAAAUUUUCAACAUUAUCUGGUUAUUACCUGCCCUGAGCUUCUGUGAUUCUGUGCCAUGAUUUUGGUUGCUAUAUCAGAAAGGAGAGUUGAGGCUGAGCUGCUUUUUGAUUGUUGUCAAUUCCUCCAUCAUUGAGAUACAGCCCACUUGCACAGUUAUGACCAGGGUAAACCAUGAAGAAUGGGCAAUGGGGCAUUUAGUACAUUAACUCAUUUUCAUAGGCAAAACCGGCUACGUGAUCAGGAAGGAAAAAAAAAUGAAGUGUCAUUGCCAUUCUGGCCUUCUUUAACCCAAAGAACUAUCUCAUAGAGUUUACAAACAAAAUAGGUCAUGCCAAGGAUUCUAAAAACACCAGUCCAAGCCAAGGAUGGAGCGAAAUGCCUCUACUGCUCCGGUUCAGUGGUUUUAAAAUUGUUUUAAAUCAUAUUGUCCAUCAGUAAAAUAUUUUCGAGCACACAUCUCCAAUAUUUCUGCAAUUGUACUACUAGAUUAGAUAUAUUACAAAGCAUUAUCAAACAGAAAAUGUUAAAGGACAGGAUAAAAAGUAAUUAGAAAUCAAUGCUAUCUUCCUGAAUUCUAUCUUCUGUAAACUAGAAGAUUAACACACUCCAUUCUCAACAGAGGAGAGGCAGAUGAAAUUGGCAGGACCCCAGGUUUUCCUGAGUGGUCUGGGUCUAGCUAAACUGGAACAGAGAAGCAAGUGGGAAACCUCUUUUGCCGUCACUGAACACCAGCACUAAGCCGAGGAUUAAGUAGGGGAAAUGGUUGUACUUAGACUUGCAAAACUGCAUGUGGAACACUCUUGUUUCAUUUUGAUUCCAUCUGCACUGAACCACAGAAACUCAGAGCCUGCUAAUAACCAGAUGAAAAUCAAAAAAUUCUCUCAAACAAUUCUUUUUGAUUAUGCCCAAGUGCCAUCUAAUAAUGGUUGAGAUUGAUUUAUUAAAAAAAUAAAUAAAUAACUAAUUUGCUCAACGUGCUUGGUAUGGGGGAGAGGGAGAAAGAUGCAGAUGAAUGUGAGUGUGUGUGCGUGUGUGUGUGUGUGUGUGUGUGUGACAGAGAGAGAGAAAUCCCAGGGGUAUCUUGGUGGAGGGGAGAGAAAGAAAAACCAACUUGACUUUGGCAGAAAUUCCUGGCCUUGCCACGUGCAAGUUGUGCUACUCGGAAGCUAAAACGAGUUGACCAGGCAGAGCUCACUUAGACCUUGUUGCAGUUACUUCUGUUCAAAAUGGGGACAACAAAGUCUAUUUUGCAGAGUCAUUGUGAGCAGUAGGAAUUGUUUUUAUAAAGUGACUCACACAGCACUUUAUAGCAGUUGCUCAAUAAAUGGUGGCCGCUCUUGUUACAUAACUGGACAAGACAAUAAAUCCUAGACUUUGCCAAGAAUACCCAUUCAGUAUUCAAGUGCACCAACAGUAUAUGGCAAUCACGAGAAUAUGUUUUUACUUUAGAAUUCAAAUUCAUUUUAUUUCCAUGAUCACAUUUAAUCUUCACAAUGAAUUUGAAAGAUAGAACAAGUGUAAUUAUCCCCAUUUUACAGACACAGAAAGGUUGAUAAAUUAUUGACAUUCAGUGGUAGAGCUUACAAUCAAUCACUCAGAACUCCUGCUUUCUAUACCAGCAAUGGGAAGGAAGCAGACAUAUUUGGCAUAUGUUACUUUCUAUUAAGUAACUCAACCUCAUAAACUGUGUAUGCAUAUAUGGGUUUAAAAAUUUUUUCAUCUAAAGUCAACUCGGUUUAGCCCAGUCUUUUCCUCUCUCUCUCUCUCUCCAGUCUCUUCAUCACCCAACACAUUCCUUGCUAAUAAAACAAAUAUCACAAUAUGAUGAAUUGAAGAAAUGAAAAAAGCAUCUGUUACAUGUGCUCUCCAUUAAAACUUUGC
RNAcentral lists this long non-coding RNA (3421 nucleotides) under Homo sapiens (human). RNAcentral describes it as "HSALNT0032079". Lineage: Eukaryota; Metazoa; Chordata; Mammalia; Primates; Hominidae. The record is from RNAcentral.